Molecule: ribosomal RNA, 253 nt
Filed under: uncultured bacterium
Lineage: Bacteria
Description: partial 16S ribosomal RNA
Rfam family: Bacterial small subunit ribosomal RNA
Source: RNAcentral
GACGUAGGAUGCAAGCGUUGUCCGGAUUUAUUGGGUUUAAAGGGUGCGUAGGCGGCCCUGUAAGUCAGUGCUGAAAUAUCCCGGCUUAACCGGGAGGGUGGCAUUGAUACUGCGGGGCUAGAGUACAGAUGAGGUAGGCGGAAUUGACGGUGUAGCGGUGAAAUGCUUAGAUAUCGUCAAGAACACCUAUAGCGAAGGCAGCUUACUAGGCUGUAACUGACGCUGAGGCACGAAAGUGUGGGGAUCAAACAGG